UAGGCUGCAACUCGCCUACACGAAGUGGAAUUGCUAGUAAUCGUGGAUCAGCACGCCACGGUGAAUACGUUCCCGGGUCUUGUACACACCGCCCGUCACACCAUGGGAGCUGGUAACACCCGAAGUCAGUAGUCUAACCGCAAGGAGGACGCUGCCGAAGGUGGGAUUAGCGACUGGGGUGAAGUCGUAACAAGGUAAC
This 199-nucleotide ribosomal RNA is filed under the name uncultured bacterium. Its description in RNAcentral is "partial 16S ribosomal RNA". It matches the Rfam family "Bacterial small subunit ribosomal RNA", at positions 1301 to 1500 of the family's 1533-position model. The record is from RNAcentral.